GGCGACGAUGGAGGUGUUGGCGUUCGGCUGGGCCGCCAGCCCGGCCGGGAAGUUGGCGUAGCCCAUGAUCACCCCAUGGUCGCCGCCG
RNAcentral lists this transfer RNA (88 nucleotides) under Brevundimonas mediterranea. RNAcentral's name for it is "tRNA-Gly(gcc)". Lineage: Bacteria; Pseudomonadati; Pseudomonadota; Alphaproteobacteria; Caulobacterales; Caulobacteraceae. The record is from RNAcentral.